AUGGGGGCUCUAGGCCAUCUUCUCCCCAAACUCGGCGCUGUCCUCGCUGGUGAGUUCACCUUGGAGAAACGCGUGAGAAAAGGCAUCGAGUCUCUUGAAACAGAGCUCACACUGAUGCAUGCCGCCCUCCGCAAGGUGGCAAAGGUGCCGCCAAAACAGCUCGACGAGCUGAUCAAGAUUUGGGCAGGAAAGGUGAAGGAGUUGUCCUACGAGAUGGAGGACAUCCUUGAUGCUUUCAUAGUCCAUGUGGAGGAUGGUGGCGAGCCUUCCAACCCAAAGAAGAGAGUCAAGAAGAUACUCAAGAAGACCAUGAAAUUAUUCAAGAAGGGCAAGGUUCUCCAUCAGAUCUCUGAUGCUCUAGAAGAAGUAGUUCAUCAAGCUAAGCAAUUGGCCGAGCAACAUCAAAGGUAUGUGCCACAGAUGCGGGAUACUAGCGUUAGUGCUAGUGUUGACCCUCGCAUGAUGGCACUAUACACAGAUGUGACAGAGCUCGUCGGCAUUGAAGAAACACGAGAAAAGUUAAUCGAUAUGUUGACUGAAGGUGAUCAUGGGUCGAACCAGCAAUUGAAGACUAUAUCUAUUGUUGGAUUUUGUGGGUUAGGCAAGACAACUCUUGCCAAGGCAGCAUACGACAAGAUUAAAGGGCAAUUUCAAUGUGAUUCCUUUGUUUCUGUCUCUCAGAAUCCUGACAUGAAGAAAGUUUUCAAGAAUAUUCUCUAUGAACUUGACAAGGAGAAUCAUGCCCACUAUCGUAACGAAGAAUGGGAAGAAAAGCAACUGAUCGAUGAACUCAUCAAAUUCCUUAAUGGCAAGAGGUACCUCAUUGUAAUUGAUGACAUAUGGGAUAAAGAAGUGUGGAAAUUAAUCAAGUGCGCUUUCUCCAAGAAGAGUCCCGGAAGCCGGCUAAUUACGACAACCCGCAUCAUUAGUGUCUCCGAAGCAUGCUGCUCUUCUAGGGAUGAUAUUUACAUAAUGAAACCCCUUUCUGACGAUGUAUCAAGGACACUCUUUUAUAGAAGAGUAUUUUCUCAUGAGACAGAGUGUCCUCAGGAAUUGGUGCAAGUAUCCAAAGAGAUUUUGAAGAAAUGUGGUGGCAUACCAUUAGCUAUUAUUUCUAUAGCAAGUCUUCUGGCUAAUAAUCCUCAGAUAAUAACAGAGGAUCAAUGGUAUGAUUUGCUCAAUUCCAUUGGCCGUGGGCUCACAGAAGAUCAAACAUCUUCCCAGAAGACCAAGAUUAUGAAAGACAAGCUAAUAUGGAGAUGGAUAUCAGAAGGAUUUCUUAACGAUGAAAAACAAGAAGCUAGCUUAUAUGAGCUUGGUAACAGGUACUUCAACGAACUAGUAAAUAGAAGUAUGGUCCAGCCAAUAUGCAAUGAUUAUGAAGAUGAAAAAAGGGUAGAAGCUUGCCGUGUACAUGACAUGGUACUUGACCUCAUAAGCUCAUUGUCAAGUCAAGAAAACUUUGUCACAAUAUUGGAUGUCACCAGAAGAAAAAUGCCUAACCCAAGAAGCAAGGUCCGCAGAAUGUCCAUCCAAAAUAGCAAGAUAGAUGUGGAUACCACUAGGAUGGCACAUAUGAGGUCACUUACAGUAUUUGCAAAUAAUGUUGUUGGGGAAGUGUUGGAUAUUUCAAGUUGUCAAGUUUUGCGUGUGUUGGAUUUAGAAGGUUGUGAUGUCUCAGAUAUUGGGUAUGUGGGGAAUCUGUUACAUUUGAGGUACUUGGGAUUAAAAGAGACACAUGUUGAGGAUCUACCCAUGGAAAUAGGAAAGCUACAGUUUUUGAUUACCUUGGACUUAAGAGGUGUGUGUGACACGGACCUCAAUGUUGUGAAAGAGUUGGGGCGUCUGACAAAGCUCAAGGUUCUCCGGGUUUUAUAUGAUCAGUUGGAUGAGAGCUCAGAUAAAGCUUUGGAGGAAUCCCUUGGUUAUUUGAAGCAACUGGAAAGUCUAUGGAUAGAGAUAUUUGCCACUGAUGACUGCAUCAAUUUCAUGAGCGAUGUCUGGGUGCCCCCUUCACAGCUUCGUAGGUUGGAUUUCCCAUACAGCCGGUUCUUGAUACUGCCGGCAUGGAUUAAUCCUUCAUUGCUUCCUGUCCUCACCUAUCUUCGUAUCUUCGUGGAUGAAGUUCGAUCGGAUGUCCUCGAGCUUCUUGGGAAGCUUCCUGCUCUUUGUGUUCUCGAGAUAACGGAUUUCUCUAAGUUCAAUGGAGAGCAUCUGAUGGUAAUGCCUACCCUUUCCUCCGGUGCGAACACAUUAUUCCCACGUGCGACACAUUGCAGCUUCCUUAGUAUUGGUGCCGUGCCGUCAAUGUUCCCUCAAGGAGCUGCACCGAUGCUGAAACACCUUACGUACGCCUUCUCAGCUAAGUGGAUCUCCAGUGAGAACUUAGAUUUGGACAUGGGGCACCUCCCAUCCCUCGAGCGACUCAAUGUUAUGGUUUUCAAUGAGGAAGCUAGCGAUUGGGAGGUGGAAGAAGCACAGGAUGUGCUUUGGGACGCAAGGGAUUACUACCCCAACCAUCUCGACAUGCAGAUAGACCUGAUGGGUUGA
This 2550-nucleotide ribosomal RNA is filed under the name Triticum aestivum (bread wheat). RNAcentral's name for it is "partial small subunit ribosomal RNA". Lineage: Eukaryota; Viridiplantae; Streptophyta; Magnoliopsida; Poales; Poaceae. The record is from RNAcentral.